Molecule: ribosomal RNA, 253 nt
Filed under: uncultured bacterium
Lineage: Bacteria
Description: partial 16S ribosomal RNA
Rfam family: Bacterial small subunit ribosomal RNA
Source: RNAcentral
UACGUAGGGUGCGAGCGUUAUUCGGAAUUACUGGGCGUAAAGCGUGCGUAGGCGGUUAUUUAAGUCGGAUGUGAAAGCCCCGGGCUCAACCUGGGAAUUGCAUUCGAGACUGAAUAGCUAGGGUACGGUAGAGGGAAGUGGAAUUUCCGGUGUAGCGGUGAAAUGCGUAGAUAUCGGAAGGAACAUCAGUGGCGAAAGCGACUUCCUGGACCAGUACCGACGUUCAGGCACGAAAGCGUGGGGAGCAAACAGG